UCUGUGCCAGGCCUGUAGAAUGGGGUCCUGGACUUUCCUGUCAGAACAUACAUUACUUACCAUUUUUCCAGGGCCUCCUCUGGCUCCUGGUCUUCAAGUCCCAUAACUGUGCUAGACCAUAGGAUGAAAUCCUGGUCUUUCCUUACUCUGUGCCAGGCCUGUAGACUGGGGCCUGGACUUGCUUACUCUGUGCCAGGCCUGUAGCAUGGGGCCUGGUCUUCCUGUCUUGGACUAAUUGGGUCAUCCAACAUUCACCCACAACAACAACAAUUUAUGCAAUGCGGCAU
Molecule: long non-coding RNA, 287 nt
Filed under: Manihot esculenta (cassava)
Lineage: Eukaryota; Viridiplantae; Streptophyta; Magnoliopsida; Malpighiales; Euphorbiaceae
Description: long non-coding RNA (MESC_LNC006303)
Source: RNAcentral